CCUACGGGAGGCAGCAGUGAGGAAUAUUGGUCAAUGGCCGGAAGGCUGAACCAGCCAAGCCGCGUGAAGGACGAAGGUGCCAAGCAUUGUAAACUUCUUUUGUCAAGGGACAAAAUCAGGCUCGAGAGCCUGACCGAGGGUACUUGAAGAAAAAGCAUCGGAUAACUCCGUGCAAGCAGCCGCGGUAAUAAGGAGGCUGCGAGCGUUAUCCGGAUUUAUUGGGUUUAAAGGGUGCGUAGGCGGACUGUUAAGUCAGCGGUAAAAGCCCGGGGCUCAACCCCGGCGAGCCGUCGACACUGGCUGUCUUGAGAUGUCGAGAGGUAUGCGGAAUGCGCAGUGUAGCGGUGAAAUGCUUAGAUAUUGCGCAGAACUCCGAUUGCGAAGGCAGCAUACCGGCGGCGAUCUGACGCUGAGGCACGAAAGCGUGGGUAUCGAACAGGAUUAGAUUCCCUUGUAGUC
RNAcentral lists this ribosomal RNA (459 nucleotides) under uncultured bacterium. RNAcentral's name for it is "partial 16S ribosomal RNA". It matches the Rfam family "Bacterial small subunit ribosomal RNA", at positions 338 to 795 of the family's 1533-position model. The record is from RNAcentral.